GAGAGAGCACUGCAAACUGAUGUCCUCUGUUUGCAGAGCCCGAGUGGCUGGGACAGCGGCAGCUUACCCACAGUGCCCUGCGCCCGUGCUUCAUCUCUGCCCUGGGAGGCCCACUUCUCAGGAUGAGAGGAUAAUUCACUCGCUAUAGCCCAUUCAAUCUUCAGCCUCU
Molecule: unclassified non-coding RNA, 169 nt
Organism: Ursus americanus (American black bear)
Lineage: Eukaryota; Metazoa; Chordata; Mammalia; Carnivora; Ursidae
Source: Ensembl